RNAcentral lists this ribosomal RNA (465 nucleotides) under uncultured bacterium. RNAcentral's name for it is "partial 16S ribosomal RNA". It matches the Rfam family "Bacterial small subunit ribosomal RNA", at positions 28 to 507 of the family's 1533-position model. The record is from RNAcentral.
GAUGAACGCUGGCGGCGUGCUUAACACAUGCAAGUCGAACGGAAAGGCUCCUGCUUGCAGGGGUACUCGAGUGGCGAACGGGUGAGUAACACGUGGGUGAUCUGCCCUGCACUUCGGGAUAAGCCUGGGAAACUGGGUCUAAUACCGGAUAGGACCACAUUUUGGAUGGUGUGGUGGAAAGUUUUUCGGUGUGGGAUGAGCUCGCGGCCUAUCAGCUUGUUGGUGGGGUAAUGGCCUACCAAGGCGUCGACGGGUAGCCGGCCUGAGAGGGUGUACGGCCACAUUGGGACUGAGAUACGGCCCAGACUCCUACAGGAGGCAGCAGUGGGGAAUAUUGCACAAUGGGCGCAAGCCUGAUGCAGCGACGCCGCGUGGGGGAUGACGGCCUUCGGGUUGUAAACUCCUUUCGCUAGGGACGAAGCGCAAGUGACGGUACCUGGAGAAGAAGCACCGGCUAACUACGUG